Molecule: ribosomal RNA, 497 nt
Filed under: uncultured bacterium
Lineage: Bacteria
Description: partial 16S ribosomal RNA
Rfam family: Bacterial small subunit ribosomal RNA
Source: RNAcentral
GAUGGACGCUGGCGGCGUGCCUAAUACAUGCAAGUCGGGCGAACAGAUGAGGAGCUUGCUCCUCUGACGUUAGCGGCGGACGGGUGAGUAACACGUGGAUAACCUACCUAUAAGACUGGGAUAACUUCGGGAAACCGGAGCUAAUACCGGAUAAUAUAUUGAACCGCAUGGUUCAAUAGUGAAAGACGGUUUUGCUGUCACUUAUAGAUGGAUCCGCGCCGCAUUAGCUAGUUGGUAAGGUAACGGCUUACCAAGGCAACGAUGCGUAGCCGACCUGAGAGGGUGAUCGGCCACACUGGAACUGAGACACGGUCCAGACUCCUACGGGAGGCAGCAGUAGGGAAUCUUCCGCAAUGGGCGAAAGCCUGACGGAGCAACGCCGCGUGAGUGAUGAAGGUCUUCGGAUCGUAAAACUCUGUUAUUAGGGAAGAACAAAUGUGUAAGUAACUAUGCACGUCUUGACGGUACCUAAUCAGAAAGCCACGGCUAACUACGUG